Molecule: ribosomal RNA, 254 nt
Filed under: uncultured bacterium
Lineage: Bacteria
Description: partial 16S ribosomal RNA
Rfam family: Bacterial small subunit ribosomal RNA
Source: RNAcentral
UACGGGGGGGGCAAGCGUUGUUCGGAAUUACUGGGCGUAAAGGGCUCGUAGGUUGCCAACUAAGUCAGACGUGAAAUCCCUCGGCUUAACCGGGGAACUGCGUCUGAUACUGGAUGGCUUGAGUUUGGGAGAGGGAUGCGGAAUUCCAGGUGUAGCGGUGAAAUGCGUAGAUAUCUGGAGGAACACCGGUGGCGAAGGCGGCAUCCUGGACCAACACUGACGCUGAGUGAGCGAAAGCCAGGGGAGCAAACGGG